GACGAACGCUGGCGGCGUGCUUAACACAUGCAAGUCGAACGGUGAACCCCUUCGGGGGGGAUCAGUGGCGAACGGGUGAGUAACACGUGAGCAACCUGCCCCUGACUCUGGGAUAACUCCGGGAAACCGGGGCUAAUACCGGAUAUGACACUUCCGGGCAUCCGGUGGUGUGGAAAGAUUUAUCGGUUGGGGAUGGGCUCGCGGCCUAUCAGCUUGUUGGUGGGGUGAUGGCCUACCAAGGCGACGACGGGAGCCGGCCUGAGAGGGCGACCGGCCACACUGGGACUGAGACACGGCCCAGACUCCUACGGGAGGCAGCAGUGGGGAAUAUUGCGCAAUGGCGAAAGCCUGACGCAGCGACGCCGCGUGAGGGAUGAAGGCC
Molecule: ribosomal RNA, 382 nt
Filed under: uncultured bacterium
Lineage: Bacteria
Description: bacterial SSU rRNA
Rfam family: Bacterial small subunit ribosomal RNA
Source: RNAcentral